AACGAACGCUGGCGGCAUGCUUAACACAUGCAAGUCGAACGCUUGUAGCAAUACGAGAGUGGCAGACGGGUGAGUAACGCGUGGGAACGUACCCCAAGGUUCGGAAUAACGAUUGGAAACGAUCGCUAAUACCGGCUAAGCACGAAAGUGGAAAGGUUUACCGCCUUGGGAGCGGCCCGCGUUAGAUUAGGUAGUUGGUGGGGUAAAGGCCUACCAAGCCUAGGAUCUAUAGCUGGUCUGAGAGGAUGAUCAGCCACACUGGGACGGAGACACGGCCCAGACUCCUACGGGAGGCAGCAGUGGGGAAUAUUGGACAAUGGGGGCAACCCUGAUCCAGCAAUGCCGCAUGAGUGAUGAAGGCCUUCGGGUUGUAAAGCUCUUUUACCUACGACGAUAAUGACGGUAGUAGGAGAAUAAGCCCCGGCUAACUUCGUGCCAGCCGCCGCCGUAA
RNAcentral lists this ribosomal RNA (451 nucleotides) under uncultured bacterium. RNAcentral's name for it is "partial 16S ribosomal RNA". It matches the Rfam family "Bacterial small subunit ribosomal RNA", at positions 29 to 523 of the family's 1533-position model. The record is from RNAcentral.